AAAUUGAAGAGUUUGAUCAUGGCUCAGAUUGAACGCUGGCGGCAGGCCUAACACAUGCAAGUCGAACGGUAACAGGAAGCAGCUUGCUGCUUUGCUGACGAGUGGCGGACGGGUGAGUAAUGUCUGGGAAACUGCCUGAUGGAGGGGGGAUAACUACUGGAAACGGUGGCUAAUACCGCAUAACGUCGCAAGACCAAAGAGGGGGACCUUCGGGCCUCUUGCCAUCAGAUGUGCCCAGAUGGGAUUAGCUUGUUGGUGAGGUAACGGCUCACCAAGGCGACGAUCCCUAGCUGGUCUGAGAGGAUGACCAGCCACACUGGAACUGAGACACGGUCCAGACUCCUACGGGAGGCAGCAGUGGGGAAUAUUGCACAAUGGGCGCAAGCCU
This 388-nucleotide ribosomal RNA is filed under the name Salmonella enterica. RNAcentral's name for it is "bacterial SSU rRNA". It matches the Rfam family "Bacterial small subunit ribosomal RNA", at positions 1 to 384 of the family's 1533-position model. The record is from RNAcentral. Lineage: Bacteria; Pseudomonadati; Pseudomonadota; Gammaproteobacteria; Enterobacterales; Enterobacteriaceae.